CUGGAAUGGAUCGUGGAAGGAUGCUUCUUGCCAUCGCAUUGGUGAUCAUGAUCAGCGGCAACAUCGAUUGUUCCAGGCCGGGCUCGUUUUCGGCGAUGAGCCAGCAGGCCGAGCUUUUCAAUUCCGAAUUGCGCCUUCCUGUUGUUAACAAGAUCCACAAUCUUUUCGAAAGGACCUUCCGGAGAAUGCUCAUCCAGGGUCAGCCCACGCCAUCCUCCGGCCCUUCCUGGUGCUGCCACGACCAUCCAUAGCAUUUUCCUAAAACGAUUUUUCAUUUCAAUACCACCAUUAUUUGGCUAAUUGAAGGGGCGGACAGCCACGUGGCUGACACGUCACGCUGGGAGACGGCGGCGAAUUCUCCUCCAAAUCCUCCGCCUCCACCCCUUUCCCCAUUCUUCCCCACCUCCGCUUCCUCCCAUUACAGUCACACAUCAAUUUACCCAGCUUGCGUCCAUGAGGCGCUUAUCUCACCAAGGUGAAGGGGAAUGAUAAAGGCAUCUUUCCAUUUUUCCCUGUCAACUUCAAGAGACUUGAGAGCUGCUUGGAAUUCCCCGAAGUUCCAGUCCAGCAAGUAAAGUCUCCACAAGACUUUCAGGGAUGUCUUGUACAGCUGCGAACAAUCAGCCGUGGUGGUGGCUUGCCCUUGUUCUGGCGAGAAGAUCUGCAAAGAGGAGCGGCUGCAGUGAGUCUCGAAGAUUCGCAGGUCGUUCGGAUUGGGCAUGGCUUGAGGGCCGGGCAGGGCAGGAGGGACAAGAGCCGGUGGUGCUAGAACAAGCUGCAGAGGGAAGUGGGCAGCACUGGCAAAGGCAGAUUUUUUCCCACUUGACGAUGGAGUCUCAUUGAAAUGCACGUCUGGUGAGAUGAUCAGCGUCUUGGAGACAGGAUUGUAGACCUUGUAAGCCUUGUGUUCAAUGCUAUAGCCUAGGAAAAUGCCGCUUGUUGAAGUGAGUUUUUUUCUAGUUUUAGAGGGGAUAUGGACGCCAUGGAAGGUGCGCUAAUCCAUUUGAAUUCCACUUUGUGCAAGAACCCUUGACAAUCCUGGACCUCAACAUUGGCAAGCACUUAAACGUGUCUUUUGGUACUUACGAGAUAUGUUUCCUUACAGUCUUAAGGCCAAGAGUCAAGCUAUGUUUCCUUACAGUUUUAAGGCCAAGAGUCAAGCUAUGUUUCCUUACAGUCUUAAGGCCAAGAGUCAAGCUUACUGGGCUGGCUUUGGCUAUAUUGUUUAGCCUUCGGUGUUGGGCCGGGUGUCGUUGAGGAGGCGGCAAAGCCAGAUGGCCUCUUUGCAUGCGGAACUAGCCUCCGCCUCACAGCUGGAGCAGGCAACGACGCUCUGCUUCUUGCUGCCAAUUGCAUUGUAAUCUACUGUAACAAUCAUCACAAGAUUAAUUCCCGGACGAAACACGCACCACGCUGGGAGACACGUCCAGUUCUUUCCAUGUUAUGCAAUCUUAAUUGAACACCACAACAGCCUGGAAAUCGAGUCCGCUGCUUCAUCCCACCAAAAAAUCUGAUCUCGUGCACAGCAUGAAACGAACAUUCUCUGUGCCUCUCCUGAUAGAGCCAUACAGGACCUUCUCAUGUCCAGCCAGCCACUCGAUUAUUAUAUGCAGCACACUCAAAUACAUCCAAGUAAAUCUUGAAAUCCUCGCAAAGUAGGCUAAAUGAGUCUGCUUGAGGAGGGCUUAAGUGAGUUGGCAAGGUGUAGUUUUGGUCUUUCCCUUGAACAUUGUAAGAUCAUGGACCUCACGUCACUACAGUGUCACCUUUAACUCAUUGUAACGCCGCAUAAAGGGAUUACUGCGUUUGCUCAAGUCCUCGAUGGGAGCGUGGAAGGUGAUAGCGCCUACAUCAGCUCCGUGAAUCGCAACAAGGAUUUCUUUAUUCUCAUGACAGGGGAUUUUAGGAUCGCGCCAGGCAGGGAUCACUUCGUCUGCAUGAUCGAUAUCUUCGGCCGUGGCAGGGAGAAUGCCGAGGAAUUGCUGCGUGCCAUGCCGUUUGUGCCAGAUGCUCUGAUUUGUAGGGUUUUGGUGGCAUCUUGCCGAUCGCAUUACGAUAUGUUUCGGGCACUGGAUCGACAUAUAUGGCAAAUCGCUCCAAGAGCGUGUUUAAAAUGGAAAUUGGCGGGAAAGCGAUGUGUUUGUUUUCUAGCUGUGCAUACUAUCGAAAGGUGGAAAAAGAAUUUAUUUAUCUUUCCAUUCAGUCAAGUCAGCCUCCCAACCUUUGGAGAAACUUUCAAGUCAUGCCGAUGAGCUCUCUCAACUUCUGGAUGAGACCACGGUCGUCAAUCUGGAACGCUUUUGCGAUCACGUUGUCGUUGAUUGGAGGACUGGAAUCAAACACCGCCUUGGCCACCUGAGUUGCCCCGGGGUUUUGGCUGUUGAAGCCAGCCAUCGCAACCGCAGGCUCCUUUCCAACGUUGAGCUGGAAGUGAAUGAGUCCCCGAGGGAAGACGAACAGAUCUCCAGGAUAGAGCAUUUGGGCGAAGAGCUUGUUGUCCGGCAAGGUGGUGAUGAAUCCGACUAAGAGGUUCCCGUGCACGAGGAAGAGCAACUCGGAUCCUCGGGGAUGGACGUGGGGGGGAUUGGUGCCGCCGGGAGCAUAGUCGAUGCGGGCAAAAGCUACACCAAAGGUGUUGAGACCGGGGAAAUUGUUGACACUCGCCAGCGUGACGUUGGAGCCGAGCUUGUUGUCGGUGUUCCCGGGAGUCGCCAGCAGGCUCGACUUGAAGUCCUCGGCUUUCACAUCGGCGGCCGCCUUGCAGACGACGCCGUUCACUUUGAUCUUGGAGCCAUUGUCUGCAACGCAAAAGUCCUACAGCAUAUCUUCAUCCGCAGCAUGUACAAACAAGAUGGAGCUGAUUGCUAGGAGGAAGGAUAGAACAAAACGAAGAUGAGCCAUCUUGCGAGCUUGGAAAAGACUGAUGGAGCUAUAUGAGGGAGGGGCAGGCAUUUUAUAGCCGGAGGAGGGGAGGCGAGGUCCUUUGGAUGACUUCGUCGUGAAUCGUGCACGAUUUUAGGUACACGGUCUUCUGUUCCCUUCUAUUUCAUUUUUUACUCUUGCUGUCCGCAUAACACAAUCCGAUUUGUUUGCUGCCAAGUCGUCUCGGAAGUUUUCUUUUACCGGGCUUGUCUAGAGCCGUCCAAAUCAUCUUUUCUUAGAUGAUGACGACCUUGGUUUUGAUGGUAGGAACCGGUCUCAGUGAAACUCGAGUUUUACACGGUCUUGGUAAAAGCUUUACACUAAAUUGCUUUAUUCUUCUUGGCACCAGAGACUUUUUAUAUGUGGAGUUUUAAUGGAAUUAUUAUGGAUUGUGUAGGUCCAUUGCUGAUACAAAUAAACUAUGGGUAUAUCGACCAAAGGUACGUCUAUGUAGGUUAUCAAUUUUGCAGACAAUUAUGUUGUCAGAAGGAUAGUUGCUCACGUAGUCAUGAGAUAUAUAUAGUCAUAGUCAUUGUGAUUAUUGUUUGCAUCAUUGUCAUGGGCAAAAUAGAAUGUUUAUUGCUGCCACUUUAUUAAUCAAUUUAAUGCAAUAAACUUAUGAUAUUAAAAAAAUUUAUAAUUUGUCCCACCAUUGCAAUCUAGGAAAGCAUCCAGUUGGGGUGGUGGGAGUGAACUGAGAAAUACUCAUUUAUUUCUCAUGUGCUGCUGUGUGAGCAUGUCAAUCAAUCAGCUGACCUCAGUAUUAGUGGUCGUGGGCAGUGCAUUCUAAAGCUCUUUGACUUGUUGGGCAAAGUCGGGCACCCAUGCUGGCAUGACUUGGUCGUGACCACAGCAAGUUUUGGUUGUUGAUAUGCAACUAGAACUUGUUUUAAACAGCAUAUGCAUCCUAGUCAAACAUGAGGCAGUUAAGAACUCUUGGAAUUCCCCACUAUUGCAAAGAAAUAAAGAAAAAAUAUCAAUGAUUACUCUAUUUAACUUUCACUCACCAUUUUGUUAAGGAAAAACUUAAACAAUACACCACAUUAUUAAAGAAUAGUUUAAACGACCAGGAUGUAAUCGUUUGUACUACUCCUAUUCCAUCUAUAGUGCCCAAUUGUGUAGUGCUGUUAACAAUGUAAAGUUGGGAGGCGGCAUUAGUCAUGUGGAUGUCCUCCGCUGCUGCCUGGUUCGAGGAGCCCUUCCACUGUUGUGAGUUGAGCCUGCAAAGUCUGUUGCAAUAUUAAAAACGUUUAAUUGCCCAGCAAGCCUCACUGGUUUGAUCAGUCAGUGUAUAGUUUUAUCUUAAGAGUAACAUUCCACGAACUAGAGAGUAGAAUUUAGAUGCUCAACCAAAGUCCCACCCAUAUCCAUAACCCACGCCUUGUCCACCAGUGGAAUCAACUCUCUGCGAGGAAAGAAAAUAAGAUCCAAGCACUAAUCACGCAAGUUUACCGCAGAUCAUGGCUCACAACGAGCAACGUCCUCUCCUUCUUUAAGUACGUGAGGUAAGAAUGUAGAUUGGAAUUUUUGGUGAGGUGUUGCUUUAAUGAAAGGUGAAACCGUGUGAUGGUGCUCAAGAUCCGUCAUAGCAUAUAUGGAAUGGAAAAUGUACAUAUGUGUGACAUGGUGAACCGGUGAAAACUCGUGUCUCUCCACGUGGACUAGCCACGUGGCACAGGGCCACUCUCAACACUCCCAGUGGCACUGUGGCCAUCACGAGUGAUGCUCAUCAGUGGAGAAAGUCCCAGCCCUUCGCGAUGGACUUGAAAUCGAUCUUGGGGUAGUGCUUUUGUGAAGAUAUUUGCAACCUGAGUGGUUGUGUCACAGUAGAUCAGCUCAAUUGUGCCAUCUUCCACUUUCUCACGAACAAAAUGAUGAUGAAUCCCAAAGUGUUUGGUGCGUGAAUGAAAGCGAGGAUUGGCCGCUAACGCAAUGCAGCUUUGAUUGUCGCAGAAGAGGCGAGUGGGAGUCUUCACACUCACACCAAGGUUAGAAAGUAGUGAGCGUAACCACACACCUUCUUUGGUAGCUUGUGAGGCUGCCAAAUAUUCUCCUUCAGUACUAGAGGUUGCCACUGUACUUUGCUUCCUGCUGCACCACGAGACUGUCGCACUGCCCAGGGAAAACGAAUAGCCAGAGGUGGACUUGCGUGUGUCACAGUCUCCCCCAAAAUCAGCAUCACAGUAGCCCGUGAGGGUAAGCGCUUUUCCCUGGUAGCACAAUCCAAGGUAAGUAGUACCUCGAAGGUACCUGAAGAUGCGUUUCACUGCUGCCCAAUGUUGAGAUCCAGGAUUAGCCAGGAAUUGGCUAACUUUGCUCACGGCAAAAGAAAUAUCUGGGCGCGUACAAACAGCUGGAUACAUGAGACUGCCAACAGCUUGUCUGUAAGGGAUGGAGUCCAUGGCUCUCUUGUCUUCCUCUGUCUCAGGAGACAUGGCUCGUGAAAGCUGGCAGCCUAGUUCCAUUGGUGUCGCCACUGGAUUAGAGCUCGUCAUAGAAAACCUGGCCAGUAUAUCUUCUAUAUACUUGGCUUGGUGAAGAUAGAUAGUGCGUUGAGAGCGAUCACGCACAAGUUCCAUGCCAAGAAAGUAGGAAGCCGAGCCAAGAGUUUUCAUCUCAAAUUGGCUGCAAAGAUCUCGCUUAACCUGGAGAAACAUUAAGCGAUGAUUAUGGAUGACAAGAGUAUCAUCAACAUAAAGAGCGAUGAUCACAAAUGAUUCACCCUCCACCCGAAUAUAAAGAUUCGGGUCUGCCUCGCUACGGGAAAAGCCCACACUUAGUAUAAAAUUGUCAAAGCGUUUGUACCAAGAUCUGGGUGCUUGUUUCAAGCCGUAGACAGCUUUCUUGAGAAGCCAGAGAUGAUCCUCUUUUCCAGCGGCUAGAAAUCCUUCUGGCUGUGCCAUAUAGAUUUCUUCUUCAAGCGCACCAUAAAGGAAUGCCGUGGUCACAUCCAUCUGUUCCAGAUCAAAGUCUCCCACCGCAGCAAAAUUAAUCAAGGAACGAAGAGUAGAAUGUUUAACCACUGGAGCGAAGGUGUCGUUGUAGUCAAGUCCAGGAACUUGCGAGCAUCCUUUUGCCACCAAUCGCACCUUGUAGCGAACCGAGCCAUCAGGAUUAAGCUUCAGAGCAUACACCCACAUGCUCUUGAUAAUCUGGCGAUUGGAAGGCACAGUUGGAACAAGAACAUGUGUCUCGUUCUUUUGCUGUGAAGCAAUCUCGGCUUCCAUUGCUACACGCCAGUAAGACGCUUCCUGUGAGGCCAUGGCUUCUCCAUAGGUCCUCGGAACAGUAGGAGUCCCAGCUGCACGAGAGGAGACCAUUGUCUCGAUGAGACGCUCAGUAGGCUACUUCCAGACUUUCAAGGAUAUGGGAGAAACACAAACUGGGAAAAUGCUCAAGCGAUUGAGAAGUGAUGGUGGAGGCGAAUUCACUUCCAAUGCUUUCAACCAGCUGUGUGAGCAAGGAGGGAUUGUGCGAGAACUUACAACGCGAGAGACUCCACAACAGAAUGGCGUAGCUGAGCGCAAGAAUCGCACACUAGUGGAGAGUGCUCGGGCAAUGCUACUUUCCAGUGGUUUGCCUCGCAGCUUCUGGUUUCACGCUGUCUUGACGGCGAACUAUCUCCAGAACCGGCUCCCCACCUCUGCCCUUGCUGGCAUCACUCCUGAAGAAGCAUGGAGUGGCAAGAAACCUACAGUUACGCAUUGGGCACACAUCCCUGAUGGAAUGCGCAAGAAAUUGGACCCCAAGAGCCAGAAGGCUGUGUUUGUGGGCUACAGCCUCGAUCACAAAGCCUAUCGUCUCUGGAAUCCAAUCACGAAGCAGGAGAUCCUGAGCAGAGAUGUGGUUUUCAACGAGAAUUCUUUUCUUCCUUCUAGUCAAGGUUCUACUUCCAGACCUACCUUGACCGAAGAAAAUGACGUUGAAGCGGAACAAGAUCAGUUGACUGUCGGCACGAUCACUGUGCCGCUUCAAACAGUCCCUACGCAACAACCCAUGCCCGCUUCUACUCCAACACCACCAGCCCCGCCGCCUCCUCCAGAUCCUCUACGCAGAUCGAUCCGCACAAGGCGCACUGGACGACUAAGAACCUGGAUCUAGACUUCAACGAGUGGUGGGAUUGGGUAUCGGCACCCAUGGCAGCCACUGUUCCUACAAAUCCGCCUCCAAAUCCACCACCUAUUUCCCCUCCCAUCACAAAUCCGACUGUGCCUACAGCGGAUAUCGUUUCAGUGGACGCAAAUCCACCAAAAUUUGAUGGGAGCAACUGGUGCUUCUGGAAGACAAAAUUCGAAUCCUAUAUGGAUGAACGAGGCCUCUGGGACAUCACCACAGGAACUGAGACACUUCCAGAUACAGCUACAGUGGAUGAAACUGCGAAGUAUCGCAAGAAGGACCGGAGAGCUUUGGGCAAAUUCCAUGCAGCGCUGGAGGGGCGAGAAUUUCAUUGCAUUGGACGGUGCAAGAGUGCAAAGGAAGCGUGGGAGGCCAUGAAGCAGACUUACCAGAUCCCUUCAACAUCCCAUCGCAUUUUUUUACGGAAGCAGCUUCAUGCACUGGUGAUGGCUGAAGGGGACGACCUCAAGGAUCAUCUUGCUGCAGCGAGAACAAUCUUAGAUGAUCUUAAGGAUGUGGGAGCAAACAUAGAGGAUGAAGAAGAAGCAGAGCUGGUGCUCGUCACACUUCCUCCAUCCUUUGAUCCUCUCAUACGUAACAGCCUCCAGGACGAUGAUCUGAGACGAAGAGCAACAACAGGAUCAGAGGCCGUUGCAUUCUACUCUUCUCUCAGGAAAGAAACAGUGAACAAAGGGAAACAAGGAGCCUCUUCAUCCAAGAAGCCCAAGUGUUCUCAUUGCAACAAGAAAGGCCAUGACGAAGCUCAAUGCUGGGUGAAAAAUCCAUCUCUCAAGCCUGUAAGGAACAAUGCAAAGAAAAAGGUGGUACACGCCUUCAUCUUGUCACGAGCUAUGGCAGUGGCAGCACUGUCUACAGAGUGCAUCUACCUGGAUUCUGCUGCUACAGACCAUAUGUUCAACAGUGAUAAGUACUUUGAAGCCUAUGAUCCUACAGCCACAGAGGAGUAUGUCAUCGUUGGCAAUGCCCAGCAGCUUGCUGUGAAAGGAAUUGGAACCAUCAAGUUGACUUUACCACAAGGAAUAGUCGUAAAGAUCCACAAGGUUAUUCCUGGUUUAUGUGCUAAUUUGUUCUCUGUGGGACAAUUUGCUGAGGAUGGGUAUCAGUUCGCCAUUACACCUCCCUUACCAUGCUGCCAGAUCUUGCUGGACGGAGUCUGGGCCUACACGCACAAAAGACAACGACCAGUCACUCACUGGAGCUUUGGCACGCACGCCUGGGGCAUCCUAGUGCUGAUAGAAUCAAGCAUCUCGCACGCGAGCAGAUGGUUGAAGGUCUAGACCUGGACCCAAGAGCAGUUCUUCCAUUGUGCCAGGGCUGUCAGCUAGGAAAAUCUACUCGCCAACCUUUCCCCAAGACUGGAGCAUCUCGAGGAACUUGUACACACUGAUGUGUGUGGCCCGAUGGCCACCACAGCAGUGGGAGGUAUCCAAUACUUUAUCAGUUUCAUUGAUGACUACAGUCGUCGCACUAUGAUCUACCCUAUGGCUCGCAAAUCCCAAUCGUUACACCCUCUUGCAAGGCCUGGAGCGCUUGGAUUAGGGCAUGCCUCUGUCCGGAGGCUCCGAUUCACCCUAGCAAGUGUUGCCCUGAUCCUAUGGUUUCGAAUUCUUCUCGCUCUCCCAGGCAUUGCUCUGAUACCAUCUAACGAAAGGUGAAACCGUGUGAUGGUGCUCAAGAUCCGUCAUAGCAUAUAUGAAAAUGUACAUACGUGUGACAUGGUGAACCGAUGAAGACUCGUGUCUCUCCACGUGGACUAGCCACGUGGCACAGGGCCACAGUUGCUGAUCUCUCUAUCUCUUGAAGCGCCCGAAGAGACAACGCAUGUUACUUUCGAUGAAUCGGCUGUUUCCCUCCCACAACCGGCCAAGACACACAACUCGGCUUGCAAAAAUGGCGAAGAGGUUUGCAAUUUUUUUUUUCCUUCUCUAUAUACUGAAGUCUCAAGCUUGCAGGGGUGCCAGAAUGCUGAAACGGAUUCUACCAGCCGGUGAGCUUGUUUUCUCGCGUGGCUAUUGGUGAAAUUCAUGGUGUUCUUGCUUUUUAAGGUUGCUUCGACUCGACUAUGCUGCCGCGAUGCGUCCCCAUCCUGAGAAGGUGCAAAGCUUACUUGCUAAUUUUUGUAGAUCUUCUAAGCUUUGCUGUUUACAGGCUCAAAGAGGGGGUGAAGAUGAUUUCUUCACUGAAGGCUCCUGGAUGGGUGUUGCUGAUGGUGUUGGGGGCUGGGCCGGAGAAGGUAAGAAAAAUCUUUCUUUGAGUAUGUUUCUUCAAAAGAGUUUUUACUGGUUUUCAGGCAUUGAUUCGGGGAUGUAUUCUCGGGAGCUUAUGGGACAUUGUAAGGCAUUGGUUGUAAACAGCAAAGGGAAACUGGACCCCAAGGACGUGCUUGUCAAAGCCGCCGGCAGUACAAAGGCCCAGGGAUCAGCAACGGUCCUUGUGGCUGCAUUGUUUGAGCAAGUAAGCUAGUCGGAUUUGAUGUUUGAGUCUGAGUCGGGUCAUAUAUUUCAGACAUGUACGCAGCAAAAUUGGGAGACUUGGGUUCAUCAUAGUUCGCAAUUGGGAGCCCAUGCAGCAUAGUUUUAACUUUCCGUUUCAAGUUGGAACUUUUGGUGACCAUCUUUUCCCUUAACUUUGCUAAUUUUCCGUCUACAGGAAUUCAAGAUCCCUGUCUGCAAGGGGGACAUCAUUGUUUUGGGAACUGAUGGCCUUUUUGACAAUCUCUUCAACGACGACAUAAUCGAAGUUCUUAAAAAAUCUCUUGGGUCCGACCAAGUCAACUUGAAAGUGAACUCUCGCUGUUGAAGAAUCUCAAGAUUGCUAAUAUUCUCUUCACUUUACAGGCAUGUAGCUGGGGCGCAGGCCGAGCGUUUGGACAAUUGGAGCGGUGGAAAGCGACGUGAUAUUUGAGUCGCGAAGGGUAAACUUUUCAAGCAGUUUUUGCGGAGGCCAGUGUAUAGGCCGCGGUAUUUCCGGUUCUUACGCUAAUUGAGCACCCUUUUGAUUGGCUCAUCUUCGUGUCUUUGGUGUCCAGCCUUCAUUAGAAACUGGUUUAAAUCGCAGGUAACUGCUGCUGAAUCUUCCUUUAAGAAAUCAAGGUUUUGUUCCAUCAGAAGGUUCACAGCCUGGAAGUUCUAGCCUCACUGGAGAUUGAACUCCGGACAGGACAGGUAUCUCUUCUGUUUAGAGGGAACUGCUCAGGGUGUUAGACGUGCCAGGGAAUCAGUUCAGCUGGACGAUCACGAGCCGGCAACAUGAUCUCUGGCUCGUCCUUCUCGGGGGUACAUGGAGCUGCUAGGCCUUUGGCGCGAUGGGAUCUUUCGCGACUGCGUGGCUCUCCAGGAGCUCUUCAACAGUCUCACUCCCCCAUCCAGCAGCAAACUCCGGAAUCUCAUGCUCGGCUCUACAUCUCUCAGCCAUCCAAGUGGGUGUGCGGGCUUGGAAGUGCUCGAACAACGUUUCGGAAGAGCUGUGUGGGCCGUAUCUUGUCUCUCAGCUUGGGCAGACUCUUUGAGUUUACUCGGAUCUCUCGGAGAACCGGUUGGAGGGGCUGGUUCUGAAGGACUAAGUGGUGGAAACCCUGCUACGGUCGGAUAGCAACAAAGAGCUCACGGAGAACAGCUUGAAGGACAGCUCCAGGCAAGCUCGUGUGGAGGAUCCUUGGAUACCGCUCUCGUCCCAGUACCGUGAGACUCCACCAGAAAGAUGGUGAGCGACGAAGGCAAUUGGCUGGAGCCGUGACUUCCUUCUUCGUCUCGAGUAUUUGGUCGCGUGUCCCGUCCACAUGGUAAGCCACGGAAUUGUUUCUUAGUUGCUCAAAUCUUAAUUCUUUCUGAUCUCCAGGUUGGUAAUCACCAUCACCAACUAAGAGGAAUUUUUUGCUUUGAGGUGGAGUUCGGUAGGCGACGAAGAAAAACUUUCCAGGAUGGGAGGAUGAAAAGUUACAGCCCGAGCUUGCUGUUCUUCGUGCUCCUCUUCUCCGCUGCGGCACUGCUACUCGUAUGGGUUCUCGACAUAAAUUCCGACUCCGCGAUGAUGUCCCGGAGCCGAACUAUGGGAUCAAACUUCCGCAUCAGCAACAACACCACAAGCUACAAGGGCAGCGACACUUGCAGGAGUAGGAACGAGUACGACUUCUACAGCCGCCGAAGAUCGACGAGCUUCGAGCCAUCCGAGUCGCUCCACCGGAAAAUCCUAGAGUACGAGGCUUUGCACGGGAGGUGCGCUCCGGGGCCCGAGCAGUGCGCGAACUGUAGUACAUGCGGCUACCUCGUCAAUGUUCCCGCCAGCCAGGGGAUCGGCAACAAGGUGGUGGCUAUAGUAGCAGCGUUUCUCUACGCGCUGCUCACCGACAGGACGAUGUUGAUCGCGAGGUUGGAGAACCUGGACACGCUCUUCUGCGAGCCGUUUCCAUCCAGCUCCUGGCUGCUGCCGUCGAGCUGGAAGCACCUCGAGUUGGCGCCGUGGGACGCCUCCAAGUGGAUUGGGAGCCUGGCGGGAUCGCCCAACUGCAGCCGCGGCGUCGACGUGAGCUUCCCCGAGGUGGUGGUGGCCUAGGACAAGGCCUUCUUCUGCCAAGACCACAGCAGGAGGCCAUCUUCCAUCUCCUGGUGAGGUACCGGUUGCUUCCCAGUGACUUCGUGUGGGACAAGGCGGCCAGGUACUACGACGCGUACCUGGCCCAGGCCGAGCUUCUAGUUGGGGUCCAGCUGCGAAGCCACAUCUGCCCAACCUCGCCGAGGAUACGUUCGACUGCCUGGUGCAACAAGGCCCGCUCGCAAACACCACCCAGGAGCGAGCUCCCAGAUCGUCGGUGAGGAAGAACAGCAAGAAGGUGGCGGUGUUGGUGGUGUCGCUCAAUUCGCAGUACUCGGAGACGCUCAAGAGCAAGGUGCUGGGAUACGAUCUAGCGGACGGUUCCUCGGUGUCCAUCCACCAGCCGAGCGUGGAGGGGGUGCAAAACACAGGGAACUUGGAUCACGACGCACAGGCGGUGAUGGAGAUCUACUUGCUGUCGAUGAGCGAUGUCCUGGUGACGAGCCCGCAAUCCACGUUUGGCUACUCGGCGGCAGGGGUGGCGGGCGUGCGGCCCGUGCAGUUUGUGUGCGACCAGAGAGCGUGGUUUGCUCGGUGAGGGAGACGAUGGAGCCGUGCUACCACGUUUAUCCGGCUCAGUUCGCGUUGGGCAACAUUGAAAAGUGCGAAUGCGGCGUGGGUUCAAGCUUUUAAGAUUUUAUUUUCUUUCUCGUGAUAGAUUUCUAAGUUGCUCCUUGGCUGCAUGAUGCAACUCUAGCGUCUUUUGUAGAUUUGCGUGGUCAGCUAGCUCAUGCUCUUGGCCCACGCAAAGUUGCGCCAAGGCUGCCUUGAAAUCCCACAUACACGGAAAAGGUAAUUUGGUGCCAAGAGCUUAUAGACUUUGAAUGGCGAACUGUCGUUUUGUCCAGGACUUUGAAAAGCUGCUCGUAUAGUGUUCUGGCUUGGAAGCUAACGAGUCUUGUUUUGACAGAUGGCACGCGCAAAGGACUUGACUGUUUACCAAGCCCGGUGGAGAACUUUUGUGUGAAUAUAAAACACUGGAGGCCCAUUGGAUCCAAUCGUAUCGGAGCAAGCACAGCUCUUGGUUCUUAUACAACGAUAUCAUCACUAUGUUUAGUGCUUUUGUGGCUGGAAUGGAUCGUGCAAAGAUACUUCUUGCCAUCGCAUUGGUGAUCAUGAUCAGCGGCAACAUCGAAUGUUGCAGGCCGCGUUUUCGGUGAUGAGCCGGCAGGCCGAGCUUUUCAAUUCCGAAUUGCGCCUUCCUGUUGUUAACAAGAUCCACACUCUUCUCGAAAGAACCUCCCGGAGAAUGCUCAUCCAGGGUCAGCCCACGCCAGCUCCCGGGCCUUCCGGGUGCUGCCACGAUAAUUGAAGAGGCGGACAGCCACGUGGCUGACACGUCACGCUGGGCAGGCUCUUUUCAUCUAAAUCCUCCACCUUCCCCACCUCCGCUCCCUCCCAUUACAGUCACACAUCAAUUUACAGCUUGCGUCCAGGAGGCGGUUGUCUCACCAGGUGAAGGGAAAUGAUAAAGGCAACUUUCCAUUUUUCCUUGACUUGAGAGCUGCGUGGAAUUCCCAGAAGUUCCAGUCCAGCAAGUAAAGUCUCCACAAGACUUUCAGGGAUGUCUUGUACAGCUGCGAACAAUCAGCCGUGGUGGUGGCUUGCCCUUGUUCUGGCGAGAAGAUCUGCAAAGAGGAGCGGCUGCAGUGAGUCUUGAAGAUUCGCAGGUCGUUCGGAUUGGGCAUUGGGCAGCAAUGGCAAAGGCAGAUUUUCUCCCACUUGACGUGAUGGAGUCUCAUUGGAAUGCACGUCUGGUGAGAUGAUCAGCGCCUUGGAGACAGGAUUGUAGACCUUGUAAGCCUUGUGUUCAAUGCCAUAGCCUAGGAAAAUGCCUCGUUCGCUUGUUGGAGAGUUAUAGAGGGGAUAUGGACGCCAUGGAAGGUGCGCUAAUCCAUUCGAAUUCCACUUUGUGCAAGAACCCUUGACAAUCCUGGAC
RNAcentral lists this long non-coding RNA (13588 nucleotides) under Selaginella moellendorffii. RNAcentral describes it as "long non-coding RNA (SMOE_LNC002165)". Lineage: Eukaryota; Viridiplantae; Streptophyta; Lycopodiopsida; Selaginellales; Selaginellaceae. The record is from RNAcentral.